Molecule: ribosomal RNA, 774 nt
Filed under: uncultured Neocallimastigales
Lineage: Eukaryota; Fungi; Neocallimastigomycota; Neocallimastigomycetes; Neocallimastigales
Description: partial large subunit ribosomal RNA
Rfam family: Eukaryotic large subunit ribosomal RNA
Source: RNAcentral
CAUCACUACGCUAGAUGCAUAUCAAUAAGCGGAGGAAAAGAAACUAACAAGGAUUCCCUUAGUAACGGCGAGUGAAGCGGGAAGAGCUCAAAUUUGAAAUCUUCAAGGUUUUACCUUGACGAAUUGUAGUUUAAAGAAGUGUUUUCUGUUGAAGUUUUGGUAAAAGUUCUUUGGAAUAGGACAUCAUAGAGGGUGAGAAUCCCGUAUUUGACCAUUAUUUUCAGCUGUGUGAUACACUUUCAAAGAGUCGGAUUGUUUGGGAAUGCAGUCCAAAAUGGGUGGUAAAUUUCAUCUAAAGCUAAAUAUUGGCGAGAGACCGAUAGCGAACAAGUACCGUGAGGGAAAGAUGAAAAGAACUUUGAAAAGAGAGUUAAACAGUACGUGAAAUUGUCAAAAGGGAAGCGUUUGACACCAGUGUUGUUUUCUCGAAAAUCAAUUAAAAAUGAUGGGAUUUUGUGUUGUAUUGACUUUAUCAGCUUUCUGCACUUUUUUCCUAUCUUUUUUAAUGCACUUUUCGUUUAACAAGUCAACAUCAAUUUCUUUUGUUGUAAAAGGGUCAUUGGAAGGUGGCUUUCUUUUCGGAGAAAGUGUUUAUAGCCUUUGGCCUCUGCAAUCGGAGAGAUUGAGGUCUGCAGCGUAGAUCCUUCGGGGUUAGAUACAUUUGUGCUAAGCUAUAGCCUUUCAUAGACAACUUGUUGACUAUGAUCAGUCAUGUAGCUUACUCGCUUAUGCUAUUUUACCUACGCUUAGGAUGUUGACGAGACUGUCGAUCUC